Molecule: RNA transcript, 882 nt
Organism: Octodon degus (degu)
Lineage: Eukaryota; Metazoa; Chordata; Mammalia; Rodentia; Octodontidae
Gene name: geminin pseudogene
Exons: 1
Source: RefSeq, a predicted model, not a curated record
CAGCAUUUGAAGAGUGUAUCAUGAAUCCCAGUAUGAAGCAGAAACAAGAAGAAAUCCAAGAAAAUGUAAAGAAUAAGCCUGCGCCAAGAAGAACUCUGAAGAUGAUUCAGCCUUCUGCAGCUGGAUCUCUUGUUGGAAGAGAAAAUGAGUUUCCUCAAGGCUUAUCCAAAAGGAAACAUUCAAAUGACCAGUUAACACCUAAGACUUCAAGCUCUGGAGCAGUUAUUGACCCAGAAUCUGAUGAAAAUAAGAAUCAUGGAGGAGUCACCCAAGAAGCAUUUGAUCUUAUGAUUAAAGAAAAUCCAUCUUCUCAAUAUUGGAAAGAAGUGGCAGAAAAACGAAGGAAAGCUCUCUAUGAAGCCCUUAAGGAAAAUGAGAAACUUCAUAAAGAAAUUGAACAAAAAGACAAUGAAAUUGCCCAUCUGAGAAAGGAGAAUAAAGAAUUGGCAGAAGUAGCAGAACAUGUACAGUAUAUGGCAGAGGUGAUCGAGAGACUGUCUCGUGAACCUCUGCAUAGCUCUGAAUCAUCUGACAGCCAGGAAUUUGAUUUUGGAGAGGAAAUUGCUGAGGAUUCUGAAGUGGAAGACUCAGAGAGUGCCGCAUGUGAAGAAACCGUUUCUUCUUCUACAGAUGCAGAGCCAAGUACAUGAAGUUCAUGAGUAUUUGACUCAAGAAAUACACUGCCAAUGCUUAUUACCUCCAUUUCAGUUCUGUGUAGCAGUGCAAAUAACUACAUAACGGAAAUGCUGGAAUCACGUUUCUUUGACUACUGGGACCUGAAUAUUGUAUUCAAAUACUAUAUAUUUUUAAUCUGUGUUUUAUGUAAAUAAUAGUUUUACUCAGUUGUCAGGUAUGACUUACGUAUAUGGUACGAUAAAUAAA